This 753-nucleotide ribosomal RNA is filed under the name uncultured bacterium. RNAcentral's name for it is "bacterial SSU rRNA". It matches the Rfam family "Bacterial small subunit ribosomal RNA", at positions 61 to 818 of the family's 1533-position model. The record is from RNAcentral.
GUCGAACGAUGAAACUCAUUUGAAUUCUUCGGAAUGAAAAUAAGUGGAUUAGUGGCGAACGGGUGAGUAACACGUGAGUAACCUGCCUUAGAGAUGGGGAUAGCCUUAGGAAACUGAGAAUAAUACCCAAUAACAUAAAGCCAUCGCAUGAUAGCCUUAUCAAAGAAUCUCGCUCUAAGAUGGACUUGCGUCUGAUUAGCUAGUUGGUAAGAUAAAAGCCUACCAAGGCAACGAUCAGUAGCCGGCUUGAGAGAGUGUACGGCCACAUUGGGACUGAGACACGGCCCAGACUCCUACGGGAGGCAGCAGUGGGGAAUUUUGCACAAUGGGGGAAACCCUGAUGCAGCGACGCCGCGUGAUUUAGAAGGCCUUCGGGUUGUAAAAAUCUUUUGUAUAGGAAGAAAAUGACAGUACUAUACGAAUAAGGUCCGGCUAAAUACGUGCCAGCAGCCGCGGUAAUACGUAUGGACCGAGCGUUAUCCGGAAUCAUUGGGUGUAAAGGGUACGUAGGCGGUUAAAUAAGUUAGAAGUGAAAUCCCAUAGCUCAACUAUAGUAAGCUUCUAAAACUGUAUAACUUGAGAAAUGAAAGGGAAAGUGGAAUUCCUAGUGUAGCGGUGAAAUGCGCAGAUAUUAGGAGGAAUACCGGUGGCGAAGGCGACUUUCUGGUCAUAUUCUGACGCUGAGGUACGAAAGCGUGGGUAGCAAACAGGAUUAGAUACCCUGGUAGUCCACGCCGUAAACGAUGAGUGUUA